AACGAACGCUGGCGGCAUGCCUAACACAUGCAAGUCGAACGAGACCUUCGGGUCUAGUGGCGCACGGGUGCGUAACGCGUGGGAACCUGCCCUUAGGUUCGGAAUAACUCCCCGAAAGGGGUGCUAAUACCGGAUAAUGUCUUCGGACCAAAGAUUUAUCGCCUUUGGAUGGGCCCGCGUUGGCUUAGCUAGUUGGUAGGGUAAAAGCCUACCAAGGCGACGAUCCAUAGCUGGUCUGAGAGGAUGAUCAGCCACACUGGGACUGAGACACGGCCCAGACUCCUACGGGAGGCAGCAGUGGGGAAUAUUGGACAAUGGGCGAAAGCCUGAUCCAGCAAUGCCGCGUGAGUGAUGAAGGCCUUAGGGUUGUAAAGCUCUUUUACCCGGGAUGAUAAUGACAGUACCGGGAGAAUAAGCUCCGGCUAACUCCGUGC
RNAcentral lists this ribosomal RNA (434 nucleotides) under uncultured bacterium. Its description in RNAcentral is "partial 16S ribosomal RNA". It matches the Rfam family "Bacterial small subunit ribosomal RNA", at positions 29 to 508 of the family's 1533-position model. The record is from RNAcentral.